RNAcentral lists this ribosomal RNA (250 nucleotides) under uncultured bacterium. Its description in RNAcentral is "partial 16S ribosomal RNA". It matches the Rfam family "Bacterial small subunit ribosomal RNA", at positions 524 to 773 of the family's 1533-position model. The record is from RNAcentral.
UACGGAGGAUGCAAGCGUUAUCCGGAUUUAUUGGGUUUAAAGGGUUCGUAGGCGGAAAAGUAAGUCAGUGGUGAAAGCCUGCAGCUCAACUGUAGAACUGCCAUUGAAACUAUUUUUCUUGAAUACAUAUGAAGUAGGCGGAAUGCGUCAUGUAGCGGUGAAAUGCACAGAUAUGACGCAGAACACCGAUAGCGAAGGCAGCUUACUAAUGUGUUAUUGACGCUGAUGAACGAAAGCGUGGGGAGCGAAC